Molecule: ribosomal RNA, 465 nt
Filed under: uncultured bacterium
Lineage: Bacteria
Description: bacterial SSU rRNA
Rfam family: Bacterial small subunit ribosomal RNA
Source: RNAcentral
GACGAACGCUGGCGGCAUGCCUAACACAUGCAAGUCUAGGGGUAGCAAUACCACUGGCGCACGGGUGAGUAACACGUAGGUUAUCUGCCCCCAUCACAGACAUAACCCCGGGAAACCGGGGCUAAUAUCUGAUGAGGUCGCGAGAUCAAAGCUUCGGCGGAUGGGGAUGAGCCUGCGGCUGAUUAGCUAGUUGGUGAGGUAAUGGCUCACCAAGGCGACGAUCAGUAGCUGGUCUGAGAGGACGAACAGCCACACUGGAACUGAGACACGGUCCAGACUCCUACGGGAGGCAGCAGUGAGGAAUAUUGGUCAAUGGGAGCAAUCCUGAACCAGCAAUGCCGCGUGUGGGAUGACAGGGCUUCGCCUUGUAAACCACUGUCGGACGGGACGAAAGGAGGCCUCGGGCCUCUGGGACGGUACCGUCAAAGGAAGGUCGGCUAACUACGUGCCAGCAGCCGCGGUAAU